UUGUCCAGGUGGGAAAGGGCAGUGUGGAGUGCAAUAGAGAUUGCAUCAUCUGUGGAUCUGUUUGGGCGGUAUGCAAAUUGGAGUGGGUCUAGGGUUUCUGGGAUAAUGGUGUUGAUGUAAGCCAUUACCAACCUUUCAAAGCACUUCAGGAGUACCAAGCGUGUCAUACACGUGGUCUGAUACGGUCUGACAUACCAUGGCUGUCAGCCAAUCAGCAGUCAGGGUUCGAACCAUCCAGUUUAUAAUUCAAAUUGAGAACAUUGGUCAAAAGACUACUGGAAGCUGGUGGUUGGAGAGACGCGACAGAUUAAGAGGUUGGUGUAUUGGGGCAGCCUGUUUUGUCGUCUGUAUUUCAGACAAAAGCAAGACUAUGUUUAAAGCUCACUAAGGAUCUACAAACAGGUGAGCUUCUUGGUCCUGGCAGCCCUGAAGCUGGUGGACCUAGACCUGUGGUACCUGAUAAUCCCAGGCUUUGUGUUGAGUGGGGUGUUCUAGGGCAUCUGUCACUAUGGUCAUCAUCACAUUGGGGAUUCCACAUCAAGCUUAGUGACUGCCAGAGGUAUCUUUGAGUAUGUUCCUGCUGGUCCUGGCUCUGGAGUCUCUGUUCCACGGCCUCUUCUUUGAGCUGGGCAACAGCCUAGGCGGCACGUGUGGGGUAUGCAAUGGUCAUCCCCACCAAUUGUUGCAGGCAGGAAUGUUUUGAUAGUGGACCCCCCCCCCCAAAUACAU
This 729-nucleotide long non-coding RNA is filed under the name Salmo salar (Atlantic salmon). Its description in RNAcentral is "lncRNA (ENSSSAG00000084161.1)". Lineage: Eukaryota; Metazoa; Chordata; Actinopteri; Salmoniformes; Salmonidae. The record is from RNAcentral.